AUAGAGACUCAGAGCUGCAUAUCAAUAAGCGGAGGAAAAGAAACUAACAAGGAUUCCCUUAGUAACGGCGAGCUGAAGCGGGAAGAGCUCAAAUUUGAAAUCUUCAAGGUUCUACCUUGACGAAUUGUAGUUUAAAGAAGUGUUUUCUGUUAGAUGAGUAGCAAAAGUUCCUUGGAAUGGGACAUCAUAGAGGGUGAGAAUCCCGUAUUUGGUUAUUCAUUCUAGCUUUGUGAUACACUUUCAAAGAGUCGGAUUGUUUGGGAAUGCAGUCCAAAAUGGGUGGUAAAUUUCAUCUAAAGCUAAAUAUUGGCGAGAGACCGAUAGCGAACAAGUACCGUGAGGGAAAGAUGAAAAGAACUUUGAAAAGAGAGUUAAACAGUACGUGAAAUUGUCAAAAGGGAAGCGUUUGACACCAGUGUUGUUUUUCCGAAAAUCAAUUACGAAUGGCUUGAUUUUGUGUUGUAUUGACCUUAUCAGCUUUCUGCACUCUUUUCGAGGUCUUUUUAAUGCACUUUUCGGUUAACAAGUCAACAUCAAUUUCUUUUGUUGUAAAAGGGUCAUUGGAAGGUGGCUUUCUUUUCGGAGAAAGUGUUUAUAGCCUUUGGCCUCUGCAAUCGGAGAGAUUGAGGUCUGCAGCGUAGAUCCUUCGGGGUUAGAUACAUUUGUGCUAAGUUAUAGCCUUUCAUAGACAACUUGUUGACUAUGAUCAGUCAUGUAGCUUACUCGCUUAUGCUAUUUUACCUACGCUUAGGAUGUUGACGAUCAGCUGAGCGCG
Molecule: ribosomal RNA, 775 nt
Filed under: uncultured Neocallimastigales
Lineage: Eukaryota; Fungi; Neocallimastigomycota; Neocallimastigomycetes; Neocallimastigales
Description: partial large subunit ribosomal RNA
Rfam family: Eukaryotic large subunit ribosomal RNA
Source: RNAcentral